Long non-coding RNA from Manihot esculenta (cassava), 6494 nucleotides. RefSeq lists it as uncharacterized. The record is from RefSeq and is a predicted model, not a curated record. NCBI's taxonomy places the organism in Eukaryota, Viridiplantae, Streptophyta, Magnoliopsida, Malpighiales, Euphorbiaceae. The transcript is spliced from 2 exons.
GUGAUUGCAUUAUGCUUGUUUGGCAUCAUGGAUCUACAAUUCAACCUUGCAAAUGCCCACUAUGUCGUCGUCAAAUUAAAUUGUUGGUCCCUAGUGAAACUUCACAAAGGGAGCGUCAUAACCCUGAGGUUGCUGAGAUUUUGCAAAAGGUUCAAGCUUAUAAUCGUCUUUUUGGUGGACAAACUAAUGGUCUCAUUCAGAGAAUGCAAGACCUUCCCUUUCUGCUAAAAAGGUUGUUAAGGGAAAUUAUGGAUCCUCAAAGGUCACUUCCUCUUGUCAUCAGGGCACGUGUCUACAUUGCAGUUAAGUAAUUGGCAACUUUACUGUAAGAAUUAUGUUUUCCCUUGCAUUGUAGUCUUUUAGAUCUCACAUAAUGUUAAGGGCUAUAGAAAGGCUUCAUUCCUGAAAGCUUGUAGAAAGCAUAAGCAGCUGCAAUUUUUCUAAAAAGAAUUACAUGAGCAUAAGUAUUGAUGUUAAGCAUAAUGGGUAGGAAUUUUUGUUCAAGCUCGUGCUAAGAAAAUAAGGAUGUCAAGCAGCUCAAGUCUUGAUUUCGAUCAAUUGUAGCCUAGUGAUUUUCUAUAUAGCAUGCUGCCAUCCUGUUGGAUAGCUUACAUCUCCCUCUAUGAAUAAGUAAUUAGGGUUGUGGGGCAAGUCCCUGUGGUAUGGUGCAAUAAAAUAGAGCCAUUAGGCCAAGUGGAGACAGUGUGGAUUUAUGUGAACAAUUGUCAUUAAGGAAUAUAUAUAUAUAUCUUACUAAUGUAGUAUGGUGGGUUGAGUGUGGAUUAGUGUGAACAGAUGUCAUUAAGGAACCUCUAUAUAUAUAUCUUACCAAUGUAGUAUGGUGGGUUGAUAUGUUAUGGUGGGUUGAGAGUGGAUUAGUGUAAACAGAUGUAUUAAGGAAUGGGUUGAUAUAGUAUGGUGGGUUGAGAGUGGAUUAGCGUAAACAGAUGUAUUAAGGAAUCUCUAUGUAUAUAUAUAUCUUACCAAUACAGUGGUGGGUUGAGUGUGAAUUAGUAAGAACGGAUGUCAUUAUUUUUAUAUACAUAUAUAUCUUAUCAAUGUAGUAUGGUGGGUUGAGUGUGGAUUAAUGUGAACAUAUGUCGUUAAGGAAUAUAUAUAUAUAUAUAUAUAUAUAUAUAUUAAUGUGAACAGAUGACAUAUAUAUAUAUAUAUCUUACCAAUAUCUUAUGAUGAGUUGAGUGUGAAUUAGUCUGAUUGCAACCCAGAAUAGAUGUAGUUAAGGAAUCUAUAUAUAUAUAUAUAUAUCACCAAUGUAGUAAAUGAAGCUUCUUCUUUUCUCUUAUUCUCUUUUCAUUUCCUAUUUCAUCCUCAUAUUUUAUUCUCCUCAAUUCUAAUUCAAUUGUGGUUUGUAUAAAACAUUUUCAUUUGCUCUGGUACUUUAUUUUUUAUUUGUGUUACUUCUCUGUAUUGAUUGUUUACUAUUAUGUUUGUGCUGAUAUUUUUUAAAGAGUUUUUCUUAUAAUUUUUUUUUGUACUAAUUUAUCUUGGUUGAACUUGCUCUAUAGUUGAGUGUAUGAUUUUCAUCAUUUGCUUCCAUCUUUUCAUUAAAAUUCUCUUUGCUUAUUUUUCUUUUAAAAAAAGCUAUUGCAUUACCUUUUGAUUUACUAAAAGAGAUCUCAUUUGUUUACUCCAAAUUAAGUUUAUCAACUUUCUUAAUUGGUGAAGUUAAUUAAUUAAAACUAUUGUUAAGCUAAAGAUUAAUUUAUUAUGCUAAAAAUUUUAACAUGACAAGAUUUUUUUUUUGGUAAAAUCCUUCCAUAUUUUCUUUUCUGUAAAUAUUUUUCUUAACAAAACCCAGAUUUCAUUCACGCUUGCCUUUACAUGAUUUUACAUUGUCAUUUCAUGAAAAACAUAAUUCAAGACUAAUUUUACAAUUAUUUUUAUAAAAUAAUGGGUAGUGAUUGUGACAUUAAUUUUUUUACAAUAAUUGUUUUAAAUUAAAAAUAAAUCAUUUAGUUAAUGUCGCAUCGACGUAAGUAUGAUAAUAAUAAUAAUAACAUAGGUUAUAGAAAAAAUUUUAUUUAAUGAUUAAUAAAAUAUUAAUUAAUUAAUUAAUUUUUUUAAACUAUACAGAUCUCAUCAAAACAAAAUGGAUUUAGAAUAAUUGUGCUCAUAGUACUUGAAUUAUUUGGUGAGUGAUUAAGAUGAAGCUUUUGUAUUUUAUUUAUUUAAUUAUAUAUGAGUAUAAUAUAAUUUUUAUUUAUUUUUUUAUAACAGGAACUAUAAUAUAAUAUAUUAGCAUUUUUGCUUUUAUACAUGUACAUCUAUUUAUUUUUAAAUAUUCAUACUCUAAAUAUCUACUAAUAAUUAUUUAUUAUUUACAAUUAUUUAUAUUCUAAACUUAUACAUUAAUAAAAUCAAAAGAGAGAAGACUAUAAGAAACAUGGAAGGAACUCAGAUAUAUGACACUUCCCUAUAAUUUCUUUGUGUAUUGAAUAUUAGCUUAUUGUUUGCAUGAUAUGUAUUUUUUAUUUUUUCACUUUUUAAGAAUUAUUUUCUUUAUUGAUGUAUUUAUAUUUUGGAAAUUUUUAUUCUUUUAAUAAUUGUUAUAAUUUUGUUUACAUUUUAUAGAUAUGGAUUACUUUUUAUAAUUAAACAUAACAUAUUGAUAACGAUGACCAGUGGUAUUGAAGUAUUGAUUUAUGCCAUUUAUACUCAUAUUUUUAUUAUAUUAUCAGGCAAAUGCAGAAAAGUAUAAAGUUUUUGUACUCCUCUUUUUAUUACACAUUCCAUAUAUUUUCAUAGCAAUUUGAUCUAUUCUUGUUAGAGAGAAUUAAACAAGAAUUUUGUAAUUACAUUAUCUCACCAUCAUUGCAUACAACAUUACAUUUUCUACUACAGUAAGUAUAAUUUUCACUAUUUUUUCACCUUAGUGUCACUUUUAAUUUUAUUAAAUUCUUGAACUAAUUUUAAUUAGUAUACGAGAGUGUAUGUACAUGCAAGAAUAUCAUGUUAUAUGGCAUAAAUUAUUAUAAUAAUAUAUUUAUGUGUUUAUAUUUAAUAAUUCAAUAGAUGGUUCUUCAAAUAAAAAAUGCACAAUCCAUUUCACUUGCAUAGACUUUAAUCAACUUCUUGAGCGUCUGUAGCUGGCUUAUUUUUGGUUUGUUAUUCUUUGAUCUUGAUAUUACGAUAAAUUUUUUUUGAAUCAUUACUUUUUUAUUUUAAUUUAAUAGUGUAUAUUUGUGGUAAUUUUUUUAAAAAAAUUAUUUACUAAACUUACGGAACAAUGUCAGUUUUCUAUUUAUUAUUUUAGUCAAUUAAAAAAUAUAUUGUAAUCGGAUUUUAUUUAUUUACAGAUUCCAUACGGUGUUGGAGCAAGUUUUUAGUUAAUAAAAUUAAUAUUAUAUUUUAUAUAUCGUACUUAAAGACAAACAAAUAAUAUUGAUGAAUUUAUUAGAGAGGAAAAUCAGUUAGAAACAUAAAAUAAUAUUGUCCCUAAUUAUAUCAUUGAUAUCAGUACCAUUUACUAAGAUAUUGAAGAUGAAUUGGAGGAGAAAGAGGAGAGAGAUGUAGCUUGCAUUGAUGCAUCUCUCAUCCUCUUCUUCGUUUUCAAUAUAUUGAUAAAUGAUAUUAAUAUCAAUGACAUAAUUAGAGACGAUAUUGUUUUCUAUUUUUGGCUGAUUUUCCUAACAAAUUCAUCAAUAUUAUUUUCUUGUUUUUGAGUAUUAUAUAUAAAGUAUAAUACUAAUUUUGCUAAUAAAAACAUGCUCCAACACUAGAUGAUGAAAUCUGUAAAUAAAUAAAAUUUGAUUACAAUAUAUUUUUUUAUUGACUAAAAUAAUAAAGAGAAAAAUGACAUUAUCUCGCAGGUUUGGUAAAUAAUUAAAAAAAAAAGCUACCACAAAUAUACACUACUAAAUUAAAAUAAAAAAACAAUAAUUCAAAAAAAAAAACUUAUCGUAAUAUAUAGAUCAGAGUGUAAAAAAAUAAAAAAUAAGCCAGCUACAAACACUCAAGAAGUUCAUUGAAGUCCAUACAAGCGAAAUGGAUUGUGCAUUUUUUAUUUAAAGAACCACCCACUGAAUUAUUAAAUAUAAACAUAUAAAUAUAUUAUUAUAAUAAUUUAUGCCAUAUAACAUGAUAGUUUUGUAUGUACAUACACUCUCAUAUACUAUUAAUAAAAAUUAGUUCAAGAAUUUAAUAAAAUUAAAAGGGACACUAAAGAGAAAAAAAUGAAAAUUAUACUUACGACAAUAGAAAAGGUAAUGCCGUAUGCAAUAAUGGUGACUGUCGAAAUAACGUAUUUAUAAAAUUCUUGUUUAACUCUCUCUAAAAAGAUAUCAAAUUACCAUAAAGAUAUACAGAAUGAGUAAUAAAAAGAGGAAUAUAAAGACUUUACGUCUUUUUGCAUUUACCGAAGAAUAUAAUAAAAAUACGAAUAUAUAAAAAGCAUAAAUCAAUGCUCCAAUGCUACUAGUUAUCAUUGCCAAUGUGUUAUUUUUAAUUAUAAAAGGUAAUCCAUACUAAUAAAAUUAUAAUAAUUAUUAAAAGAGUAAAGAUUUCCAAAAUAUAAAUGGAUUAAUAAAGAAAGUAAUUCUUAAAAGUGAAACAGUACUAAUAGAAAAUACAUACCAUACAAACAAUAAGUUAGUAUUCAAUGCACAAAGAAAUUGUAGGGCAAGUGUCAUAUAUUGAGUUUCUUCCAUAUUUUUUAUAGUAUUCUCUCUUCUGAUUUUAUUAAUUUGACAUUUAUCAAUGUAUAACUUUAGAGUAUAAAUAAUUGUAAAUAAUAAAUAAUUAUUAGUAGAUAUGUAUGUGAAUAUUUAAAAAUAAAUAGUUGUACAUACAUAAAAGUAAAAAUGCUAACAAAUUGUGUUAUAGUUCUAUUACAAAAGAAUAAAUAAAAAUUAUUUAUACUCCUAUAUAAUUAAAUAAAUAAAAUCACAAAAAUUUUAUUUUAAUUACUCUCCAAAUAUCAUGGGUAUAAUUGUCAAUUCUAAAUCCAUCAAAAGAUUUGUAUAGUUAAAAAAAUAAAUUAAUUAAUAUUUUAUUAAUCAUUAAAGAAAAUUUUUUUAUGAGCAUAAUUUGCAUUGAUGCGACAUUAAUUAAAUAAUUUAUUUUUAAUUUAAAAUAAGUAUUGCAAGAAAAAUUAAUGUCAUAACCACUACUAUUAUUUUAUAAAAGUAAUAGUAAAAUUAGUUUUGUAAUAAAAUGUUUAUGGGAAUAUAUUCUCCAUGAAAUGAUAAUAUAAAAUCAUGUAAAGGUAAAGCCUGAAUGAAAUUUUAGUUUUGUUAAGAAGAAUAUUUAUAGAGAAAAAAAUAUAAAAGGAUUUUACCAAAAAGAAAAUAAAAAAAAGAAAAGUCUCAUCAUGUUAAAGGUUUUGGCAUAAUAAAUUAAUUUUUAGCUUAACAAUAAUUUUAAUUAAUUAAUAUUAUCAAUUAAGAAAUUUAUAAAUUUAAAUUGAAGUAAGCAAAGGAGAUCCCCUAAGAAAUCUCAAAAGAUAAUGUAAUAAAAGCAAAAGAGAAUUUUAAUGAAAAGAUGAAAGCAGGGGAUGAAAAUCAUACACUCAAUUAUAGAGUAAUUCCAACUAAGAUAAAUCGGUACAAAAAAAGUUAUAAGAAAAACUCUUUAAAAAAUAUCAGCACACAAAUAACAAUAAACAAUCAAUACAAAGAAAUAACACAAACAAAAAAUGAAGCAUUAGAGCAAAAGAAAAUAUUUUAUAGUUGAGUUAGAGUUAGAAUUGAGUAGAAUAAAAUAUAUGGAUGAAAUAGGGAAUGAAAAGAGAAUAAGAGAAAGGAGAAUGCUUGUUUUACUACAUUGGUGAGAUAUAUAUAUAUAUAUAUAUAUAUAUAGAUUCCUUAAUGACAUCUGUUCACAUUAAGCCACACUCAACCUACUAUAUUACAUUGGUAAGAUAUAUAUAUAUAUAUAUAUAUAUAUAUAUAUAGAUUCCUCAAUGACAUCAUUCAACCCACCACUAUAUUUGUAAGAUAUAUAUUCCUUAAUGACAUUUGUUCACACUUAACCCACCAUACUAUAUCAACCCAUCAUACAUACAUUAGUAAGAUAUAUAUAUAUAUAUACACAUAUAUUCCUUAAUGACAUUUAUUCACACUAAUCCACAUUCAACCCACCAUUCCUUAGUGACAUCUGUUCACACUAAUUCACACUGUCUCCACUUGGCCUGAUGGCUCCAUCUUAUUGAACCAUACCACAGGACUUGCCCCACAACCCUUUUUACUUGUUCAUGGUGGAAGACGUAAGCCUAGAGAGUCUGUUCAGCUCACCAACUUGCACAACGUUUCUUUUGUAAGGCCUUUAGGUGUAGCGUAUCUCCAAUAUGAUUCUCUCUAACUUAGCAUUCCAUAUUGUAAUUUAUUUAAGUUUUUGUUGUGAAGUGAGCCGAUUGGAUUGUUAGCUUGUCUAUUCGCAUGCUUGUUAGUUGGUAUUGUAAAACAGACUUGAGAUAACACCUGUAAUCAUUUUUUUUUAUUAUAUUAAUUGAAUACUUUGAAUGUUUUGCUCUUAAA